CUUUUUAAUAGCUAGAACUGGAAAUAGUUGAGCUUCCCUUCUCCGUGCUCUUCUCUUCUCUUCUCUUCUCGUCCGCUUCGGUGUGAGAUCCACGAGCUUCCCUUCUCAGUCUCUCAGCUUCUCGUCCGCUACGGAUUCACGAGAUCCAUUGUUGAUGUUGUUGGUCAUCGAUCUCAUGGCCCUGUUCCUGAACCUGGAUCAAUCGUCGUUGUUCGGGUUACAAAAGUUAUGGCUAUAAUGGCUUCAGCUGAUAUAAUGUGUGUGGAAUCAAAGGCUGUGAAGGAAAAGUUUACUGGUAUUAUUAGUUUACUGAAAACUUAUAUGAAGUAACACAAAAGGUAAAAAGGUGAAAGGGAACAUACCUGGCUGACAUUACUAUCAAAAUGGAUGGGCCACUUUUCUGCUACAAAAUUCCUGCAGAAAAGACUUUGCAUGACGGAAAUCAUACCGGAAACUUUGCUUCGAGUUUACACUACAUUAUGGGUGAUGAAAGCUACAUAUGGUAUCAUGCUCGGCUUGAUUUCAAUGAAACAUAGCAUUUAUUAGUCAAGGAUUUGCACACUAAAACACUAUGAUUAAAAUGAAUGGUAGCAAGAGACAUGCCAAACUAACAGAAUCCUAUAAAGCAGACAAACACCACACGCAUACUUUAAUACACUAGAUCUGAUGAC
This is a long non-coding RNA of Dioscorea cayenensis subsp. rotundata (Guinea yam), 671 nucleotides long. RefSeq lists it as uncharacterized. The record is from RefSeq and is a predicted model, not a curated record. Lineage: Eukaryota; Viridiplantae; Streptophyta; Magnoliopsida; Dioscoreales; Dioscoreaceae. The transcript has 4 exons.